AUAACUCAAGUUUGUAUGGAGUUGGAACGUUCGCCUACGUUUGUCGCUAGGGGCGCUGUUCCAACUGCAUACAAAUUUGAGUUA
Molecule: microRNA precursor, 84 nt
Filed under: Bombyx mori (domestic silkworm)
Lineage: Eukaryota; Metazoa; Arthropoda; Insecta; Lepidoptera; Bombycidae
Description: mir-2807 microRNA precursor family
Rfam family: mir-2807 microRNA precursor family
Source: Rfam by way of RNAcentral